Molecule: ribosomal RNA, 334 nt
Filed under: Blastocystis sp. subtype 2
Lineage: Eukaryota; Bigyra; Opalinata; Blastocystidae
Description: SSU rRNA
Rfam family: Eukaryotic small subunit ribosomal RNA
Source: RNAcentral
UGUGUAGUCAUACGCUCGUCUCAAAGAUUAAGCCAUGCAUGUGUAAGUAUAACUAAUUGACUUUGAAACUGCGAAUGGCUCAUUAUAUCAGUUAUAGUUUAUUUGGUGAAGGAUACUAAUUGGAUAACCGUAGUAAUUCUAGGGCUAAUACAUGAGUAAAGUCCCGUUGGGAUGUGUUUAUUAGAAUGAAAACCAUAUGCUUCGGCAUGAUAGUGAGUAAUAGUAACCUAUCGUAUCGCAUGCUUAAUGUAGCGAUGAGUCUUUCAAGUUUCUGCCCUAUCAGCUUUCGAUGGUAGCAUAUGGGUCUACCAUGGCAGUAACGGGUAACGAAGAA